This 691-nucleotide ribosomal RNA is filed under the name uncultured Bacteroidota bacterium. RNAcentral's name for it is "bacterial SSU rRNA". It matches the Rfam family "Bacterial small subunit ribosomal RNA", at positions 1 to 684 of the family's 1533-position model. Lineage: Bacteria; Pseudomonadati; Bacteroidota. The record is from RNAcentral.
CGCGGCCGCAGAGUUUGAUCAUGGCUCAGGAUGAACGCUAGCGGCAGGCUUAAUACAUGCAAGUCGAGGGGCAGCGCAGUGUAGCAAUACAUGGGCGGCGACCGGCAAACGGGUGCGGAACACGUACGCAACCUUCCCAGAACUGGUGAAUAGCCUUUCGAAAGAGAGAUUAAUACACCGUAACUUAAUGAAGUGGCAUCACUUUAUUAAUAUAGUUCCGACGGUUCUGGAUGGGCGUGCGCCUGAUUAGGUAGUUGGCGGGGUAACGGCCCACCAAGCCUACGAUCAGUAACUGGUGUGAGAGCACGACCAGUCACACGGGCACUGAGACACGGGCCCGACUCCUACGGGAGGCAGCAGUAAGGAAUAUUGGUCAAUGGACGCAAGUCUGAACCAGCCAUGCCGCGUGGAGGAUGAAGGUCCUCUGGAUUGUAAACUUCUUUUAUCGGAGAAGAAACCAGACAUUCUUGUUUGGUUGACGGUACCCGAUGAAUAAGCACCGUCUAACUCCGUGCCAGCAGCCGCGGUAAUACAGAGGGUGCAAGCGUUAUCCGGAUUCACUGGGUUUAAAGGGUGCGUAGGUGGGCUAGUAAGUCCGUGGUGAAAUCUCUGAGCUUAACUCGGAAACUGCCGUGGAUACUAUUAGUCUUGAAUCUCGUGGAGGUAAGCGGAAUAUGUCAUGUAGCGGUGA